GACAGAGGGUGCAAACGUUGCUCGGAAUUACUGGGCGUAAAGGGUUUGUAGGCUGCUUGGAAAGUCGGAUGUGAAAGCCCCGGGCUCAACCCGGGAAGUGCACUCGAAACUUCCGAGCUUGAGUUCUGGAGAGGAUAGCGGAAUUCUCGGUGUAGAGGUGAAAUUCGUAGAUAUCGAGAGGAACACCGGUGGCGAAGGCGGCUAUCUGGACAGUGACUGACGCUGAGACGCGAAAGCGUGGGGAGCAAACAGG
This 253-nucleotide ribosomal RNA is filed under the name uncultured bacterium. RNAcentral's name for it is "partial 16S ribosomal RNA". It matches the Rfam family "Bacterial small subunit ribosomal RNA", at positions 524 to 776 of the family's 1533-position model. The record is from RNAcentral.